ACAUACGACCAUAGGGUGUGGAGAACAGGGCUUCCCGUCCGCUCAGCCGUACUUAAGCCACACGCCGGUGAGUUAGUAGUUGGGUGGGUGACCACCAGCGAAUCCUCGCUGUUGUAUGUUU
RNAcentral lists this ribosomal RNA (121 nucleotides) under Penicillium nalgiovense. Lineage: Eukaryota; Fungi; Ascomycota; Eurotiomycetes; Eurotiales; Aspergillaceae. The record is from RNAcentral.